Molecule: transfer RNA, 72 nt
Filed under: Bos taurus (domestic cattle)
Lineage: Eukaryota; Metazoa; Chordata; Mammalia; Artiodactyla; Bovidae
Also listed under: 1 other name
Rfam family: tRNA
About the family: Transfer RNA (tRNA) molecules are approximately 80 nucleotides in length. Their secondary structure includes four short double-helical elements and three loops (D, anti-codon, and T loops).
Source: Rfam by way of RNAcentral
UCCCUGGUGGCUUAGAGGGUAAAGCGCCCACCUGCAUUGUGGGAGACCUGGGUUCAAUCCCCGAGUCGGGAA